Molecule: ribosomal RNA, 111 nt
Filed under: uncultured bacterium
Lineage: Bacteria
Description: partial 16S ribosomal RNA
Rfam family: Bacterial small subunit ribosomal RNA
Source: RNAcentral
CGAAUACGUUCCCGGACCUUGCACACACCGCCCGUCAAGCCAUGGAAGCUGGGUGUACCUAAAGUCGGUAACCGCAAGGAGCCGCCUAGGGUAAAACUAGUGACUGGGGCU